CCUACGGGAGGCAGCAGUGAGGAAUAUUGGUCAAUGGGCGUAGGCCUGGACCAGCCAAGUAGCGUGCGGGAAGACGGCCCUAUGGGUUGUAAACCGCUUUUGCACGGGAAUAAAGUUGGGGACGUGUCCCCUUUUGCAUGUACCGUGAGAAUAAGGACCGGCUAAUUCCGUGCCAGCAGCCGCGGUAAU
This 189-nucleotide ribosomal RNA is filed under the name uncultured bacterium. RNAcentral's name for it is "partial 16S ribosomal RNA". It matches the Rfam family "Bacterial small subunit ribosomal RNA", at positions 338 to 524 of the family's 1533-position model. The record is from RNAcentral.